RNAcentral lists this ribosomal RNA (313 nucleotides) under Escherichia coli. RNAcentral's name for it is "bacterial SSU rRNA". It matches the Rfam family "Bacterial small subunit ribosomal RNA", at positions 441 to 746 of the family's 1533-position model. Lineage: Bacteria; Pseudomonadati; Pseudomonadota; Gammaproteobacteria; Enterobacterales; Enterobacteriaceae. The record is from RNAcentral.
GGGGAGGAAGGGAGUAAAGUUAAUACCUUUGCUCAUUGACGUUACCCGCAGAAGAAGCACCGGCUAACUCCGUGCCAGCAGCCGCGGUAAUACGGAGGGUGCAAGCGUUAAUCGGAAUUACUGGGCGUAAAGCGCACGCAGGCGGUUUGUUAAGUCAGAUGUGAAAUCCCCGGGCUCAACCUGGGAACUGCAUCUGAUACUGGCAAGCUUGAGUCUCGUAGAGGGGGGUAGAAUUCCAGGUGUAGCGGUGAAAUGCGUAGAGAUCUGGAGGAAUACCGGUGGCGAAGGCGGCCCCCUGGACGAAGACUGACGC